UUUAGUCAAUUUGUUGGCCAGAUAGACAACUUAAGAGGAGGGUGAAUUAGAUUUUUCAAAAUUUAAAGACUAAUGUGUAUAGAAUUUAAACUAAAUAUAGCAGCAGAUAGGUGAGAGCAAUACAACAUAAGCAAGAUAUGAAGAUUCAAGGAAGAGCACUAUGAAAAAAUUAUCAAGGCACAUACAAACAUAAAUUUAUAGUGGUUCAGCAUCAAGUCCAACACUUAUGUUCACUCCCCAA
This 241-nucleotide long non-coding RNA is filed under the name Elaeis guineensis (African oil palm). RNAcentral's name for it is "long non-coding RNA (EGUI_LNC046097)". The record is from RNAcentral. Lineage: Eukaryota; Viridiplantae; Streptophyta; Magnoliopsida; Arecales; Arecaceae.